RNAcentral lists this ribosomal RNA (481 nucleotides) under Colletotrichum gloeosporioides. RNAcentral describes it as "eukaryotic LSU rRNA". The stretch from base 169 to 322 matches the Rfam family "5.8S ribosomal RNA". The record is from RNAcentral. Lineage: Eukaryota; Fungi; Ascomycota; Sordariomycetes; Glomerellales; Glomerellaceae.
GUUUACGCUCUACAACCCUUUGUGAACAUACCUAUAACUGUUGCUUCGGCGGGUAGGGUCUCCGCGACCCUCCCGGCCUCCCGCCUCCGGGCGGGUCGGCGCCCGCCGGAGGAUAACCAAACUCUGAUUUAACGACGUUUCUUCUGAGUGGUACAAGCAAAUAAUCAAAACUUUUAACAACGGAUCUCUUGGUUCUGGCAUCGAUGAAGAACGCAGCGAAAUGCGAUAAGUAAUGUGAAUUGCAGAAUUCAGUGAAUCAUCGAAUCUUUGAACGCACAUUGCGCCCGCCAGCAUUCUGGCGGGCAUGCCUGUUCGAGCGUCAUUUCAACCCUCAAGCUCUGCUUGGUGUUGGGGCCCUACAGCUGAUGUAGGCCCUCAAAGGUAGUGGCGGACCCUCUCGGAGCCUCCUUUGCGUAGUAACUUUACGUCUCGCACUGGGAUCCGGAGGGACUCUUGCCGUAAAACCCCCAAUUUUCCAAAG